RNAcentral lists this unclassified non-coding RNA (22 nucleotides) under Mus musculus (house mouse). RNAcentral describes it as "oocyte_clustered_small_RNA11954". Lineage: Eukaryota; Metazoa; Chordata; Mammalia; Rodentia; Muridae. The record is from RNAcentral.
UGUAGGGUGAGAUAACAAAGGA